This 253-nucleotide unclassified non-coding RNA is filed under the name uncultured Flavobacteriaceae bacterium. RNAcentral describes it as "contains 16S-23S intergenic spacer region". It matches the Rfam family "Bacterial small subunit ribosomal RNA", at positions 524 to 776 of the family's 1533-position model. Lineage: Bacteria; Pseudomonadati; Bacteroidota; Flavobacteriia; Flavobacteriales; Flavobacteriaceae. The record is from RNAcentral.
UACGGAGGGUGCAAGCGUUGUCCGGAAUUAUUGGGUUUAAAGGGUCCGUAGGCGGGUUAAUAAGUCAGUGGUGAAAGUCUGCAGCUCAACUGUAGAACUGCCAUUGAUACUGCACACCUUGAGUAAUUAUGAAGUGGUUAGAAUAUGUAGUGUAGCGGUGAAAUGCAUAGAUAUUACAUAGAAUACCGAUUGCGAAGGCAGAUCACUAAUAAUGUACUGACGCUGAGGGACGAAAGCGUAGGUAGCGAACAGG